Molecule: transfer RNA, 64 nt
Filed under: Tachinus subterraneus
Lineage: Eukaryota; Metazoa; Arthropoda; Insecta; Coleoptera; Staphylinidae
Description: tRNA-Arg
Source: RNAcentral
AAAUAAGAAACAAAAUUUGUAUUUAGUUUCGACCUAAACCUUUGGUGGACCGCACCCUUAUUUA